Molecule: long non-coding RNA, 7518 nt
Organism: Harpia harpyja (harpy eagle)
Lineage: Eukaryota; Metazoa; Chordata; Aves; Accipitriformes; Accipitridae
Exons: 6
Source: RefSeq, a predicted model, not a curated record
AGCUGCAUGGACUAAUUCUUGUGGAGUUUUCAGGGAGGCGUUUAGAAAUUACAUCUUGAAUAGAAGAUGCCCUUAGCUUUCAACAACUACCACCUACAUACAUGAGAUGUUCAUUUGUGGUUGCAUGUGAGGGCAUGGUUGUAGCUGAUUUGCAAGAGCCAACAGGAGCUUAUGCAUUAGAUAAUUCUUUCACUUUCAUUCAUGUGCUCCUUUUCUUUCGUUCUCACUCUAUUUUGAUAGGGGGAGCAUGUAUGUUGUAAAUACUCAACUUUGACUUUAAUUAAUGCUGGCAUGUUCCUGAAAUAUGGUUUCAUAUGAGUUUGUAGGUGUUCUAGUGAGGACAUUCAUGUUGCUCUGCUGCCUGUAGAUGAUGUUCAUGCAUUCUGGAGUCCCAUCACUAACUGGUGGUUUUGGAAGCCAUGGCUUUUCACACUUUUUUUUUAAGGGAUUGGUUUGAAUAGGUACUAAUAUGGUAAUUGCCUGUUCAAGACAGAGGUGCUUUGGAUCAGGGAAAAUGCAGCCCAGGCCCUUUUACAAUGACAGGAGUAUGUACCUUUGCAUAUGUGUACAUAAUACAAGUUGCUAUCCAUGUGGUUCAUACUGCUAUGGUAGUUCAUCUGGCAGAUCACUUAAAUAUUUACUCCAAAAGAUCUUGUUCUCUGUUGGUGUGAAGCAGCAUUUCCAGUUAUUUUUAGGUCCUUUUCAUCUUAGCAACCCUGUUGGAGAUAAACCAGACACAAGUGCUGUAAACUGUCCCUGCAUUUGGGUAGAAAUUAAUAAAAUAAAGUUUAAUGGUUUGGUCCCAAGGGGAGAACAGACCAUCUGGUUAACAGAAGGUUAGGCCAAGUAAUACAGCGCUGAGAGUGCCACAAACCAACCCAGAAUAUCUGGUAGUGUGUCCAGUUGCUGCAUCUAUUAAGCACUGAAAUGGUGCUUUCAGAUCUGCAGAGCCAGCAGUUCUGUUACCACUGCUGUGACGCAGGAGAUAAUUCUGUUGGGCAAGCAUCAGCAUGGGGGUGGAUCUACAGUACAGGAUGUGUAAUGUCAACAUGAAGCAUGGGAGCUGGCAGUAAGAAGGAAAGCAGCCAUUUCAUGCCAGUGCAGGAAGCCGAAAUAGAUUUUUCCCCUCUGCAUCUUGUCCUUUUAUGCUGCUUUCAUACUUGGUAUUAAACGAUUACCUUCUGCUUUGUCAUCUGAAAACUUCAGCCCGGCAGGGUUUAAUUUCUUUCUGGUUUUGAACCUGUUUGGUUUUUUUUUAAACAAGUGAAGUGCACUCCAAAAGCAUGUCUGAUGGAUUAUAAAAGGGGCUGGGGGGAGGCUGAAGGGCUAAGCAGAUCUGGAGAAAGAACAGUUCAGUCAUGUGAAAGUCCUGAGCUUCAGAUGAAGUUUCAUUGUACAUCCUUUUGGCUUUAGUGCAGAGACAGUUUGUUCAAAAGCUGUAACCAUUUGAGAACAUUGUACUGCAGCUGGGAAAUGCAGAAAGAUGCUGUUCUGUGGUAGCCCUGCAAAGGUAUGACUUUCUUCAUACGUUCCUAAGAACUGGAGUGGGAGUGUGGGAGUAGUCAACCCACAGUAACUUCAUCUUUACGCAGUCCUCCUUGCUCCAUUGGCCCCAUUCAGGAGAUUUUUUGGUUGAAGCUAUGGGAGUCUAGCACUUCUGCAUAGGACACUUGAAAAGAAAUCGCACUGAAGAAUUAUGUGAAACUCAAACACCAUCUCUCAGGGUAGAACUUUUUCUUGGUUCCAUAAAUAACUCCAAGUUGUGGUAGCUGUUUCAGCAUCAAAAGUAUUAAGCAUGCAAGCAAACCAAGAUACUUUUUCUAAAAUCAUGUUAAGUCCUGUAUGUAUCUCAGCAAGAUCAAGGGGAAAACAGGACCUGACGAAUUUAGUCAGAGACUGACUUGCAACCUUUAAUAUCAGUCCUUUUUUUCAAACUGUACAAGUGUUUGGAGUUGACUCUCAUCUGGGAAGUAAUUUGCCAUCCUCUGAAAGGAAAGCAUGGAAGGAGGCAGAGAGAUGGUAACUCUAGUGAUGGUAUCCUUCCCCACAAGCACUACAAAGGCAAAUUCCUGUGUUCUUUGCUGAAAUUCUGGGAGCAGAUUAAUGAUGGGAUGGGUUCUGCUCACAGGUAAGAUGAAGAAAUUAUUGGAACCGGUUCCUGAUGUUCAAUGACCCAUGCAUGACUGUGGAGCAUUCUUCAUCUCUUAACAUCUGACCUAGAUGCCUUUACACUUCGGGAUGGCUGUUCAGAGCCUGUCAUGUCCAGUAGCUGCCUAACUUGGGUGACCUUGUGGCUUUAAAGAAAAUCCUGUGGAACUGUUAGUUUCAACCUCAGUGAAGGACACAUUGAAGAGCUAGCUCAUUAAGCAAGCUUUGAAGGGUGUGCUCUGCAGAGCAGCUUCCUGUUAUUUGGUUAAUGGUUGACCUAGUUCUGUUGCCAUAUGCCUCCUGGAACGCAUUCUAAUAUAAAAUAUGUGCUAAAGCAAGACUGGGAUAAUAGAAGGAAAGUCAAAGCCUUUACAAAACAGAAACUAUAUAAUGCUGUUGCAUUUUGGAGGGUAUUGUAGUUACUAAAAAUGCCAAUACCUUCAUGGAACUGUAUUGGUUCUGCUUGCAAACUCAGGAGUGUUAAUCAGACUCAUUUAUGUAUUUUUUUCAGACUGGCCUUGUACAAAAGGUUUGUAUCAGUAAUUCCCUGUGCUCCAUAUGUGAAGCUAAAGUUAGGGAGUGAAGCACUCAGUGGUAUUACAGCUGUGAGGAAAGAUUAGAUUAGAUUUGGCUAAAGGCAGGAGGAUUUUUCCCCCGUGGUAGGUGUUUUUUUCAUUGCAAACCAUGGAUUAGCAAAUUUUUUUCCUCUUUAAAUCCUGGCUAGAAGCCAGAAAUGGGGAUUCAGGCUUUUACCUGAUAUCAGAGACGACACAGCAUGCAUACUUACACUUAGGCAAAAAUAUAAGAAAUUUGGAGGUACUAGAUAAAGUUCAACCUCCAACCUGAAUGACUACUUUCUGACAGGCUGAAGUUCUGAAGAACCUGUGGGCUGUGUUUUCUGGUUAAUUUGAUUUUCUGCCCUAGGAAAAGGAAGGGAUUGUUUUCGUAAGUAGUGUGCAUUAUGGUAGAACAGGGGGAACGGAAAAUUAAAGCCAUGCUUUGUAACCUUUUGAGAGCUCAUGACUCUAUCAGUAGAUAUGGUGAUUUAUUAUUCUUCUGUCAGUGUGGGAAACUGAACUGCUUACCAGACGUACCGCUUUGAAUAUUCAUUUAACCUGGCAGUGGCUAACCUGUGUCUCUUCAGUUGCAGAUGGCUUGCAAGCAGUCCAGGUGUGAAUUCUGGGCAAAGUAUUCUAACUGGAGGAGUUAGAAGUCAAUGGAAGAACAAAGCAGUUCAGGAAUAAAGAAGGAGAAAGAAGUCAGCUGUUUCCUCUGUUUCUUGGUUUUGGAAUGAUGACUAAUUUAACCUGUAAGUAACACUGAGAUUAGUGGCUGUAUUCCAUUGUGAAAUGCAAGUAAAGUUAGGGUAAGAAGGUAACUUCCUCUUGGCAAACAGUUCCCUCUCCAUUUCUCUCCCAUAUUCUGUGUAAAAUCUUUUGUCCCAGGCAUGGGUGCAAAGGAGCCUUCUUGUCUUUAACUUGAACGUUUCCUUUCUUCUAGUAAUCAAGCCUACAGAUACAGCCCCUGUGUGCUCAGCUGAAAAGUAAACCACUUUUUUUUUUGACAGUGAAGCUUCACUGCCAAAAUGAUCUUGUACUGCAGGUGGCUAGAGGUAUAUGAUGCAAGUUAGUUUGUCAGCUUUGGAACACAUCUCAAGGGCAGGCUUUUCAGGAAGGUUGAACUGUAGCACCAGUCCUGUGAUUAGCAAGUCUGGUUCUGCCUCCUUCAACUUCUGAGACCUUGAAGAUCCAUUGCAGGUUCUGCUUUCAGUGACCAGCAUGCCAAAUAUCUUCAUAAGAAAUGAAAGACCAGCUCCCUUGACUUCAGAGCUACCUUGAAGAUACACAUCACCAGCAUCACUCUCUGUUAGGAUGUGGAAAUAGCAGAUGAUUAGUUUGCAUCUUUCUAGAAGACCUGGAGAAGGAGAGGCCUAUGGAGGAGGUAGUAGAUAGACCAGGAAGAAUUACUUAUGGCAGAAAAGCAGAAAUUUAAGAUUUAAUGCCAGGAAUACAGCUUGGAAGGUGAGGUAAGUUAUAUUAGAAAGGAAUGAUCUUUUGAAAGAAAAAGUGGCACUACUCAGACAAACAGUCUAAGAAAAUUGGAAGAUACAAUUCUUGAUCACUUCUGAGGCAGACAGGGAUGAAGAAGGUGAAAGAUUUAACCCUUUUUUGCCUGCUUCCCCAAAAUGCUGAUGUCAUAAGAACUUCCAGACUUUGCUUGAUAACUGGGAGCUGGGCUGACAAGGGUGGGAGGUCAGAGUUCCUCCAGUGGCCUGGUGUGAAGCAGCUGUGCACAGUCUUACCUGUCUGUAUGCUGCCUCAAGCUGGUGUGCUAAAAGAUUGGAGCCUACACUUUUGACUGCAUGGAGUGGGCAGAUGCAGUUUCCAGAAAAAAAACUGAUCCCCAGAUGCUUCUCAUUGUAAACGCAAACUGGAUUUUAGGGAGGCUUCUUCCAGCUGCAGCAAGCAUGUUUGUAUGUCUCAGCUGACAGCUACAGGGGAAAAAAAAAACAAAGAAGAGGUGCUACCACUUUGUAUCUUUGCCCAGGAAAAGUAACAGUCACAGCUGCCCAUGACACACUUGGCUUUUGGCAGAGCUCAGGCUGGUUCUGCUCUGCAGACAUAGGAUGAAGCAUGCUCAGUAUGCUUCCUUCAACAGGAAUGCCAGCAGUAUCUUGGAUUACUACAGAGACUGCUCUGUCUGUGAGCUCCUUCUGCAGAGUUCAGGUUCACAUUAAACAGUAUCAGGAGUUCUCAGUAGGCUGUGCAUGGCUGUCGGCACAGGCUAAUCCCAUUUUUUGGAAAGUUGUAUUUUCUUAGACAUCCAGACUCUCAAACUGGGACAUUUAUUUUAUUGAAGUUUUUCAGAGAAACCAUACUAGCUUUACAUGCUAGUUGAACAUACACUGAAGGUGAUGCUGUAGCCUAAAGUUUUUGUAGGACUUGGUUCUCUUACAGUCUGAAUGUUUUUUUUUUUUUAAAUCCUUAAAAUACCUGGAUCUUGUUUGUGGUAAUGUCCUAACAAUGAAGGGUAGGUGCAACUGUCAGCAUGUGAAAACUAAUUGCUCGGUUUGUUCUCAUAAAUUUUGUUAGCCAGUGUGGAGUGGAAGUGUGCACACGCUUUGUGGCUCUAGCUAGCACGUGUGAAAGAGAAGUCUGAUUAAAUCAAACUUCCUCUUCUUUGGUCAUGAAUAUCUCCUGCAUACAGAAGACAUUGAAGAAGACUUAGAGUGUUCCUCUUACAAAUAAUUUUAUUAAGGUGCUAUAAAGAAGAUUCCCUUUGAUGACUUCUGGUAAGUUUUGAUGGGUUUUUUGUCCAGACAUUUGUUAGAACAGAAGAAUUAUUAAUAUGUUGCCCAUUAUUUAGAAAAGUUUGGGAAAAGAGUGGAAGGAUUCAGCAGUUUGGGCAAAAUCGUAUUAAGAGAAAAGCCUUUCAAGCCAUGUAAGAAUUUCAGCUUUUCUAGCUCUCAAUCCUUCAGAACAAAUAUCCUUACUCACCCCCAUAUAAAGCUCCCUUUUUGGAUAGUCACCCUUUUUUCCAUGUCCCUCCUCCUACUGUGAUCUCGAGCAAUAUGAGGGUUAGACCAUGUUCACCAUCCCUAAACUCUGUCUACCCUUGUAUUCUUCUCAGCUCUGCAGACGUUUUGCUGAGUUGACCUAAAUUCUUCAGCAAAAGGCCUGGAUUCUGUGCAGAAAGCUGGAAAUGGCAACUCCAAUUAAGAAGUAAAUAUGAAGAUAAAUAAAGAGCAUCAGUAAUAUCCUUGUGUGUGGUGUAUGAUUUACCCCUGCUCCUGAAAUUUUAACUUCCACUGUGCUGGAGAACCUUUCAUUUGUAGUUGUGAGAAGUUAGGACUGGGAUUUCAGGGACAGUGGCACAGAAAGGUAGCGUGCCAUAACGGCGAAGGGUUGGAGACUGGAAACCAGCUUCUGCUCCUGGCUGUGCCACAGACCAGCUGUGCAACCUGGAGCCAGGCUACUUCACUUCCUGUGCUUCUCCAUUACCAGCUAAAGGAAGAAGGUUCUCCGUGAUGCAGACUCACUCACCUUGUUUUUCACACAGAGGGAGCCUUCAACAGUGUGGCCUGAAGCUGCAUGAGUCAAAUAAAUAGGUAGUAACUGCAUGGAAUAGGGUGUCAGUAUUGCUACUUGAUAUAUUUAAUUCUGCCUUUUUGUUCCUUACAUAUUGCCUACAGGUUGUGAGUCUUCAGAUUUUGUUCAAUAAUUUGAAGCUGUCUGAAAACCAGGGGAAUACUUCAGUCUUUUCUCUCUCUGAGAGCAAGUCACUUCCGCUGACUUAAAUGACUUGUGAUAACGGAAUGGAAACCUGAAACAUCCGAUACUGUCUUUUGUCUUGCUUUGGUGUUCCAUAAACAGCAGAAGGAAAAAUGAAAUUUCUGCAGGACUGAUUGUAUACUUUUGGCAUAGACUCUUUUGUCAAUGAAGUCCUAAAUUAAUGUGAAUCUUUCACUCUGCAUACAUUCCUGCAAACAAGAACCCACGCUUGAAUGAAUGCUGGUUGCAAGAAACAAAAAAGUACAAAUGCCUUUUAUUGAAAUGAGUUUUAAAGGGAAAAAGAGUCUAGAACUGACCACAAAACACAUUGCAUUCUUCCUUUUUUCUCUUCCAUAGUGUUAAAGGAUGUUAGCUAAUAUAAAUGCAGUGCCUCAAAAUACUCUUUGUAUUAUGUAUUUUGGUGUCAUGAGGUUCAUGUAUGCCUCUUUUGGGAUGAAAAAACAGGGAGGAGAUUGACCUGACUGGCAAGUGGUGUUGCUGAAUGCUGUGUCUGAAGGGCUGUUCAUUUAGCUGGACUCUUACUGAAAAGAGACAUGUGUUGUUUAUCUCUGUGAUUGUCCAUGUCUCCUCUCCAUGUGUAGUUGAAAAGAUGCUUCCUGUCCUUUUCAAGCAGCAUAAAUCUGAGGACACACAAUUUUACAACAGUUGAGUCUAUGGUCUUUGUGGUUUAGGGUUUUUUUUCUCAAUUGCUUGUUUCCAUCUUUGUUCCUUUAGUAAGAAGAAGAAAAAAGAAUAUAUGGUUGUGCUUUGAAGUAAUCCUGCUGUAUUUUAAAACCUCUUGAACUGGAGGAUUCAAUGACACUUUAUCUACCUGAAGUAUUUAUGUGUACCUCUAGGAAAAGCACUAAGUUGGGAAGUUUGUAACUUCUUUCCCUUUCAGUCAAACUUUGUUUCCUUUAUUUAAGUGGUUCUAUAAUCAUCAAUAAAACCAAUUUCAAUUAUGUACCUCUUUGCUUUGGAACUGUAGAACAUAGCAUGUGUGUCUUUGUCAUUACCAUAGGUGAAUAUUCUUUCUCUUUUUUGAAAACAUUGUGAGCCAGAUGACUGUUCCUUUGCUUUCAGAACAUUACUUCUGAAG